Molecule: ribosomal RNA, 554 nt
Filed under: uncultured bacterium
Lineage: Bacteria
Description: bacterial LSU rRNA
Rfam family: Bacterial large subunit ribosomal RNA
Source: RNAcentral
GAUAGCGUAAGUAGCGCGAGCGAAGAUGGAAGAACCCUGUUAGGGAGGAUACUGAACCUGAAACCAUACGCUUACAAGCGGUCGGAGCACAUUUCAUGUGUGACGGCGUGCCUUUUGCAUAAUGAUCCGGCGAGUUACCGUCACUGGCUCGGUUAAGGCCUUCAGGGCCGAAGCCACAGGGAAACCGAGUCUGAAUAGGGCGAAAUAUGUCAGCGGCGGUAGACGCGAAACCUUGUGAACUACCCAUGGGCAGGUUGAAGCGCGGGUAAGACCGCGUGGAGGACCGAACUCACCAAUAUUGAAAAAUUGGGGGAUGACCUGUGGGGAGGAGUAAAAGUCUCAUCAAACUGGGAGAUAGCUCGUUCUCUUCGAAAUGGCUUUAGGGCCAGCCUCGUGCCAUUACUACAGGGGGGUAGAGAUACUGAAUUAGUUUGGGGGCCUACCCGGCUACCCGGCUUAACCAAACUCCGAAUACCCUGUCAGUGUACCACGGGAGUCAGUCGGCGAGGGAUAAGCUUCGUCGUCAAAAGGGAAACAACCCAGACCACCUGUUA